This 73-nucleotide transfer RNA is filed under the name Lepisosteus oculatus (spotted gar). It matches the Rfam family "tRNA". From Rfam's summary of the family: Transfer RNA (tRNA) molecules are approximately 80 nucleotides in length. Their secondary structure includes four short double-helical elements and three loops (D, anti-codon, and T loops). Further hydrogen bonds mediate the characteristic L-shaped molecular structure. tRNAs have two regions of fundamental functional importance: the anti-codon, which is responsible for specific mRNA codon recognition, and the 3' end, to which the tRNAs corresponding amino acid is attached (by aminoacyl-tRNA synthetases). tRNAs cope with the degeneracy of the genetic code in two manners: having more than one tRNA (with a specific anti-codon) for a particular amino acid; and 'wobble' base-pairing, i.e. permitting non-standard base-pairing at the 3rd anti-codon position. Lineage: Eukaryota; Metazoa; Chordata; Actinopteri; Semionotiformes; Lepisosteidae. The record is from Rfam by way of RNAcentral.
CCCCGACUAGCUCCGUUGGUAGAGCCUGAGACUCAUAAUCUCAGGGUAGAGGGUUCGUGUCCCACGUCGGGCG